UAGGGAAUCUUCGGCAAUGGACGAAAGUCUGACCGAGCAACGCCGCGCGAGUGAAGAAGGUUUUCGGAUCGUAAAACUCUGUUGUUAGAGAAGAACAAGGACGUUAGUAACUGAACGUCCCCUGACGGUAUCUAACCAGAAAGCCACGGCUAACUACGUGCCAGCAGCCGCGGUAAUACGUAGGUGGCAAGCGUUGUCCGGAUUUAUUGGGCGUAAAGCGAGCGCAGGCGGUUUCUUAAGUCUGAUGUGAAAGCCCCCGGCUCAACCGGGGAGGGUCAUUAGAAACUGGGAGACUUGAGUGCAGAAGAGGAGAGUGGAAUUCCAUGUGUAGCGGUGAAAUGCGUAGAUAUAUGGAGGAACACCAGUGGCGAAGGCGGCUCUCUGGUCUGUAACUGACGCUGAGGCUCGAAAGCGUGGGGAGCAAACAG
RNAcentral lists this ribosomal RNA (428 nucleotides) under Gemmatimonadota bacterium. Its description in RNAcentral is "Gemmatimonadetes bacterium partial 16S ribosomal RNA". It matches the Rfam family "Bacterial small subunit ribosomal RNA", at positions 355 to 775 of the family's 1533-position model. Lineage: Bacteria; Pseudomonadati; Gemmatimonadota. The record is from RNAcentral.